CAACCCUCGAACCCCUCCGGGGGGUCGGCGUUGGGGAUCGGCCCUGCCUCUUGGCGGUGGCCGUCUCCGAAAUACAGUGGCGGUCUCGCCGCAGCCUCUCCUGCGCAGUAGUUUGCACACUCGCAUCGGGAGCGCGGCGCGUCCACAGCCGUUAAACACCCAACUUCUGAAA
Molecule: unclassified non-coding RNA, 172 nt
Filed under: uncultured Trichoderma
Lineage: Eukaryota; Fungi; Ascomycota; Sordariomycetes; Hypocreales; Hypocreaceae
Also listed under: 1 other name
Description: sequence contains ITS2
Source: RNAcentral